UGGGGAAUAUUGCGCAAUGGACGAAAGUCUGACGCAGCGACGCCGCGUGUGGGAUGAAGCUCUUCGGGGUGUAAACCACUGUUGCCCGGGACGAACCUCCCCUUUCGAGGGGACUGACGGUACCGGGUGAGGAAGCACCGGCUAACUCUGUGCCAGCAGCCGCGGUAAUACAGAGGGUGCGAGCGUUGUCCGGAAUCACUGGGCGUAAAGGGUGAGUAGGUGGCUGGGUAAGCGUGUGGUGAAAGCUCGGGGCUCAACCCCGAGUCUGCCGUGCGAACUGCCUAGCUUGAGCCAUGUAGAGGCAGGCGGAAUUCCGGGUGUAGCGGUGGAAUGCGUAGAGAUCCGGAAGAACACCGGUGGCGAAGGCGGCCUGCUGGGCAUGAGCUGACACUGAAUCACG
Molecule: ribosomal RNA, 400 nt
Filed under: uncultured bacterium
Lineage: Bacteria
Description: bacterial SSU rRNA
Rfam family: Bacterial small subunit ribosomal RNA
Source: RNAcentral